GUUGUCGUGAGGCCGGAGAUGGGCUCGCGGCCGCAGCAGGAGCAGAACGAGCUGGGCCUGGACACGAGGCCGGGAGGCCGCAACUGGGCCUGGAGAGGCCGGAGCUGAGGAGGCUGGGCCUGGAGAGGCCGCCGAAAGGCAAAGGCUGGGCCUGGAGAGGCCGCUCCCCGUGACGAAUGAGUUGGGCCUAAUGAGGCCACUGGGAGCCAGGAGGAGAGCAUGGCGGAGCUGCCGAAAGGCAAGAGGAGCUCUGACCUGGGGAGGCCGCAGUCAGGCGAGAGCUGGGCGUGGACAGUCCACUGUGGGCAGAGGCUGGGCCCGUGCAGGCCUUCGCGAGGCAGGAGGCUGGGCCUGGCGAGGCCGACCGGAGGUCAAGUCCUGGGCCUGAGGAGGUCACCCAGAGGCGUGAUCGGGGCUGGGCCUCCAGAGGCCAGUGGCAGGCCGGAGGAGCUGGGCCUGGAGAGGCUGACCUGAGGAAGUCUGGCAGCUGGAGAGGGCGGG
Molecule: non-coding RNA, 501 nt
Organism: Chlorocebus sabaeus (green monkey)
Lineage: Eukaryota; Metazoa; Chordata; Mammalia; Primates; Cercopithecidae
Source: RefSeq, a predicted model, not a curated record